Triticum urartu is the source of this 2031-nucleotide RNA transcript. It is a transcript of the gene named protein DETOXIFICATION 14, with no coding region annotated. The record is from RefSeq and is a predicted model, not a curated record. NCBI's taxonomy places the organism in Eukaryota, Viridiplantae, Streptophyta, Magnoliopsida, Poales, Poaceae.
ACGAUAUUCCCCAGAGAGAAAGAGAAUCCAGUCCCCACCCGCCGCCGCGCCGCUGAUAGCGAGCGUGACAGAGUCCUCCCCCAUUAAACCCCCCCGCCCGGCCGCCGCGUCGUCCACCGCCACCGCCAGACCACGCCCGCAAUCGCCGACCGAGGCACGGACGGAGAAGCGCGACGACGCCCGCCAUGGAGGACAGAGCGCCGCUUCUGCCCCGGCACCAAGAGGCGGCGGCGGCGGCCAAGAGCGGCGGGUGGCGCUGCGGGGCGGCGGCGGCGGAGGCCAGGAAGGUCGCGCACGUGGCGCUGCCGAUGGCGGCCGUGAGCGUGGCGCAGUACACCGUGCAGGUGGCCUCCAACAUGAUGGUCGGCCACCUCCCCGGGGGCGUGCUGGCGCUCUCCGCCUCCGCCAUCGCCACCUCCCUCGCCUCCGUCUCCGGAUUCAGCCUCCUCAUUGGAAUGUCAAACGGCUUAGAAACUCUGUGUGGUCAAGCUUACGGGGCCGAACAGUACGGCAGAUUGGGAGUGCAAACCUACAGAGCUAUGGUCACCCUGACGGCUGUCAGCAUUCCAAUCUCACUUCUCUGGGUAUUCAUGGGAAAACUCCUGACCCUCAUAGGCCAGGACCCCAUGAUCUCGCAUGAAGCCGGAAGAUACAUAAUGUGGUUGAUUCCGGCCCUCUUUGCAUACGCUGUCAGCCAGCCCUUAACAAAGUUCUUACAGUCUCAGAGUCUGAUAAUCCCUAUGCUUUGGUCCUCCAUUGCGACGUUGCUCUUGCACAUUCCUGUUUGCUGGUUAUUAGUGUUCAAGACCAGCCUUGGGUACAUUGGAGCCGCUUUGGCGAUAAGCGUAUCAUACUGGUUGAACGUGUUCAUGCUUGUCGCGUACAUCGGAUGCUCAAACUCUUGUAAGGAGACAUUCUCGCGUCCUACACUCGAUGCUUUCAGUGGAGUGGGUGUGUUCAUGCGCCUAGCUCUGCCGUCUGCACUAAUGUUAUGUUUUGAAUGGUGGUCAUUUGAGGUCAUUAUUCUUCUGUCUGGACUUCUACCCAAUCCAGAGCUGCAAACUUCAGUUCUGUCUACAUGCAUGACAACAAUCACACUGAUGUAUACUAUAGCAUACGGGAUUGGUGCUGCUGGAAGCACUCGGGUAUCAAAUGAAUUAGGUGCCGGGAAUCCUGAAGGUGCUCGACUGGCUGUCCGCGUUGUCAUGUGUAUUGCUGUGACUGAGGCAGUUGUCAUCACUGGGGCACUGUUAGCAUCCCAGCACAUCUUGGGCUAUGCAUACAGCAGUGAUAAGGAGGUUGUUGAUUAUGUCAAUGCAAUGGUUCCCUUCAUCUGCAUCUCAGUUGCUGCUGAUAGCCUACAAGGAGUUCUCUCAGGUUAAAACUUUCUAACUACCAAUUGAUCUGUCAAUUUUACCGUCCCUUCAAAAGAGUGUGAUGUUAUAAUGAUUUCGGCAGCCAUAAGCUAUACUUGUUUCCAGCCAUGACACCAUACUGUGAUAUAUAUAUCUUCACCCUGUAGUUUGAUUUCGAUAAUUCAGUAUGUAGCUUUUAUCCAGUUUGGUAAUAAGCCUUGCUAGGUAGCAAGUGAAACUAUUAUCUGUGAGUCAUGCCGAUUUCGCAAAGACAUUACCAGGUAACGUGCCACUUAUUAGAUUUGUUAAUGUUUCGCUAUACUAAUGCUAUUUUGUGUUGUGGAAGCCGACAUUGUUACUUGGGGAGUUACUUGUUUGUUCUUUCAAACAUGUGCUCUUACGUGAACAUGGAUGGCGGUGUUUACGUCCACACACAUCUGGCUGGGAUGUAACCUUAAGUGGGCGCCACCUCACUAAGUAUUGCUCGAGGGUGUGGGUCGCAGCACCUGGGCGCCUAUGUGAACCUCGGUUCGUUCUAUCUGUUUGGGAUUCCGAUGUCCCUCCUUCUUGGGUUUGUUCUGAAGAUGGGAGGGAAAGGGCUUUGGAUGGGCAUUUCCUGCGGCUCCAUAAUGCAAUUCCUACUUCUGUCCGGCAUAGUGUUCUUCAGCAACUGGCA